UGCAAGUCGAACGGCAGCACAGCAGAGCUUGCUCUGUGGGUGGCGAGUGGCGGACGGGUGAGGAAUACAUGGGAAUCUGCCCAGUCGUGGGGGAUAACGUAGGGAAACUUACGCUAAUACCGCAUGCGCCCUUCGGGGGAAAGCCGGGGACCUUCGGGCCUGGCGCGAUUGGAUGAGCCCAUGUCGGAUUAGCUAGUUGGCGGGGUAAAGGCCCACCAAGGCGACGAUCCGUAGCUGGUCUGAGAGGAUGAUCAGCCACACUGGAACUGAGACACGGUCCAGACUCCUACGGGAGGCAGCAGUAGGGAAUAUUGGACAAUGGGCGCAAGCCUGAUCCAGCCAUGCCGCGUGAGUGAAGAAGGCCCUCGGGUUGUAAAGCUCUUUUGUCCGGAAAGAAAAGCGUUGGGUUAAUACCCCUGAUGUCCUGACGGUACCGGAAGAAUAAGCACCGGCUAACUUCGUGCC
This 465-nucleotide ribosomal RNA is filed under the name uncultured bacterium. RNAcentral describes it as "bacterial SSU rRNA". It matches the Rfam family "Bacterial small subunit ribosomal RNA", at positions 56 to 509 of the family's 1533-position model. The record is from RNAcentral.